Molecule: long non-coding RNA, 371 nt
Filed under: Manihot esculenta (cassava)
Lineage: Eukaryota; Viridiplantae; Streptophyta; Magnoliopsida; Malpighiales; Euphorbiaceae
Description: long non-coding RNA (MESC_LNC010840)
Source: RNAcentral
AGUCGUGGCUGGAGCUGCUGGUUGUGCCACACUGCCUGAAGCCGUCUGCUGGGACUGUGCCAACAAGGUCGCAGUGGGACACUCACGUGCCAUGUGCCUCUCCUGUCCGCAUCUGAAGCAGGCUGUAGUCCCAAACCGACAAACCCCCUUGUGCGGCUUUCCACACCUCAUGCAUCCUGAACUGUCUGAACCAGAGCUCGAGCCACCCCCCAUUCCCAGACCUGAUUUCAACCUGUUCCAGAACUUGUUCUUCUUAGGCUUGGCUUUGCUCCACUUUUUACUACCUGAGGCUGCUGCACUCAGAGAAGAGAGAUCAAACUUUCCUGAACCUGGGGUCUUAGAACCCGAGGGCUGUGCCACCUGCUGCUUCA